RNAcentral lists this ribosomal RNA (504 nucleotides) under uncultured bacterium. RNAcentral's name for it is "partial 16S ribosomal RNA". It matches the Rfam family "Bacterial small subunit ribosomal RNA", at positions 30 to 523 of the family's 1533-position model. The record is from RNAcentral.
AUUGAACGCUGGCGGCAGGCCUAACACAUGCAAGUCGAGCGGUAGCACAGGGAGCUUGCUCCUGGGUGACGAGCGGCGGACGGGUGAGUAAUGUCUGGGAAACUGCCUGAUGGAGGGGGAUAACUACUGGAAACGGUAGCUAAUACCGCCUAACGUCGCAAGACCAAAGAGGGGGACCUUCGGGCCUCUUGCCCUCCGAUGUGCCCAGAUGGGAUUAGCUAGUAGGUGGGGUAACGGCUCACCUAGGCGACGAUCCCUAGCUGGUCUGAGAGGAUGACCAGCCACACUGGAACUGAGACACGGUCCAGACUCCUACGGGAGGCAGCAGUGGGGAAUAUUGCACAAUGGGCGCAAGCCUGAUGCAGCCAUGCCGCGUGUAUGAAGAAGGCCUUCGGGUUGUAAAGUACUUUCAGCGGGGAGGAAGGCGAUAAGGUUAAUAACCUUGUCGAUUGACGUUACCCGCAGAAGAAGCACCGGCUAACUCCGUGCCAGCCGCCGCCGUAA